Molecule: ribosomal RNA, 253 nt
Filed under: uncultured bacterium
Lineage: Bacteria
Description: partial 16S ribosomal RNA
Rfam family: Bacterial small subunit ribosomal RNA
Source: RNAcentral
UACAGAGGGUGCGAGCGUCAAUCGGAAUUACUGGGCGUAAAGCGCGCGUAGGCGGCUUUUCAAGUCGAUUGUGAAAUCCCCGGGCUUAACCUGGGAACUGCAGUCGAGACUGUCUAGCUAGAGUAUGGGAGAGGGAAGUGGAAUUUCAGGUGUAGCGGUGAAAUGCGUAGAUAUCUGAAGGAACAUCAGUGGCGAAAGCGACUUCCUGGACCAAUACUGACGCUCAUGUGCGAAAGCGUGGGGAGCAAACAGG